AUCCCUAAAUACAAAACCCAUUGACCCCAUAAUAUCUAUUACAAUCCCUACAAUCCCUUUACUUACAUUGCUUUACCGAAGUUAAAUAUCAAUAUCUGGAGAAGCGAAUCUCAAACAUUUUGGAAUCGUUUGAUAUGAAGAUCUUAGAAGACUGAAAUCUAUAUUCAGUUGUUCAGAUUGAAGAUAAGAUUACAUGAAAAUGGUUUGUAUUGCAACUAAAGGAUGAUCUUGGCAUUAACACUCGAGAAGGAUAGACAUUUAUAAUAGACAUGCAAAAGGGAUCAGUACCUGCCAUUCAUGAAGUGCUGCCUAAUAUUGAGCACAAAAUGUGUGCCAAACACAUUUGGUCAAAUUGGACUGAAAAAUGGAGAGGUGCGAAAAGGAGAAAGAAAUUUUGGAGUGUGUUUGGGCAACUUUUAAGAUUAAAGUAAAGGAGAAUUUGAAGGAAUUGAAUAAGCUUGGAAUAGGUAUUGUAGAAGACUUCUUAAGCUAUAAUCAUAAUACAUUUUGUAGGGCUUUUCUAAAAUUAGAAAUUUACUCAAAUAUAGAAAAAAGAUAAUAUAUCAGAGACAUUUAAUAAAUGGAUAUUGAAUGCUAAAUUCAAGUCCAUGCUAGAGGAGAUUAGGCAAUAGGUCAUGAAUAGGAUCAGGAUGAUGAGGGAGUUUGCAGACAGUUAGAUAUAUGAUAUUUCACCUUCAGCCAUGAAAAAAUUGGAAAAAAAAAUAAGCAUAGGGCAAUGGAUUGUAUUAUUCGUUGGAAUGGGGAACAUGAAUUUGAAGUAAUAGAGAGAGAGUACAAACACACUAUUGAUCUAAGGAUAAAGACUUGCACUUGUGGAGCUUGGCAGCUUAGUAAAAUUCUUUGUGCUCAUGUCAUAUGUGCACUUAGCCAUCAGAAAUUUCAAUAAGAUGAUUAUAUUAGCUUCUUGUAUAAAAAGGAGACCUUUUUAAAGUCAUAUGAUAUAUGAUGCAACUUGUAA
Manihot esculenta (cassava) is the source of this 979-nucleotide long non-coding RNA. RefSeq lists it as uncharacterized. The record is from RefSeq and is a predicted model, not a curated record. NCBI's taxonomy places the organism in Eukaryota, Viridiplantae, Streptophyta, Magnoliopsida, Malpighiales, Euphorbiaceae. The transcript has 3 exons.